RNAcentral lists this ribosomal RNA (433 nucleotides) under uncultured bacterium. RNAcentral's name for it is "partial 16S ribosomal RNA". It matches the Rfam family "Bacterial small subunit ribosomal RNA", at positions 28 to 507 of the family's 1533-position model. The record is from RNAcentral.
GACGAACGCUGGCGGCAGGCCUAACACAUGCAAGUCGAGCGCGCCCUUCGGGGUGAGCGGCGGACGGGUGAGUAACGCGUGGGAACGUGCCCUUUUCUACGGAAUAGCCUCGGGAAACUGAGAGUAAUACCGUAUACGCCCUUUGGGGGAAAGAUUUAUCGGAAAAGGAUCGGCCCGCGUUGGAUUAGGUAGUUGGUGGGGUAAUGGCCUACCAAGCCGACGAUCCAUAGCUGGUUUGAGAGGAUGAUCAGCCACACUGGGACUGAGACACGGCCCAGACUCCUACGGGAGGCAGCAGUGGGGAAUCUUAGACAAUGGGGGCAACCCUGAUCUAGCCAUGCCGCGUGAGUGAUGAAGGCCUUAGGGUUGUAAAGCUCUUUCAGCUGGGAAGAUAAUGACGGUACCAGCAGAAGAAGCCCCGGCUAACUCCGUG